GCGCUCCCUUCGGCAGCACAUAUACUAAAAUUGGAAUGAUACAGAGAUUAGUAUGGCCUCUGUGCAAGAAUGACACACAAAUUCGUGAAGCGUUCCAUAUAUAU
Sapajus apella (tufted capuchin) is the source of this 104-nucleotide small nuclear RNA. Lineage: Eukaryota; Metazoa; Chordata; Mammalia; Primates; Cebidae. The record is from RefSeq and is a predicted model, not a curated record.